Molecule: ribosomal RNA, 1538 nt
Filed under: Staphylococcus aureus subsp. aureus CIG1233
Lineage: Bacteria; Bacillati; Bacillota; Bacilli; Caryophanales; Staphylococcaceae
Description: 16S ribosomal RNA
Rfam family: Bacterial small subunit ribosomal RNA
Source: RNAcentral
GAGUUUGAUCCUGGCUCAGGAUGAACGCUGGCGGCGUGCCUAAUACAUGCAAGUCGAGCGAACGGACGAGAAGCUUGCUUCUCUGAUGUUAGCGGCGGACGGGUGAGUAACACGUGGAUAACCUACCUAUAAGACUGGGAUAACUUCGGGAAACCGGAGCUAAUACCGGAUAAUAUUUUGAACCGCAUGGUUCAAAAGUGAAAGACGGUCUUGCUGUCACUUAUAGAUGGAUCCGCGCUGCAUUAGCUAGUUGGUAAGGUAACGGCUUACCAAGGCAACGAUGCAUAGCCGACCUGAGAGGGUGAUCGGCCACACUGGAACUGAGACACGGUCCAGACUCCUACGGGAGGCAGCAGUAGGGAAUCUUCCGCAAUGGGCGAAAGCCUGACGGAGCAACGCCGCGUGAGUGAUGAAGGUCUUCGGAUCGUAAAACUCUGUUAUUAGGGAAGAACAUAUGUGUAAGUAACUGUGCACAUCUUGACGGUACCUAAUCAGAAAGCCACGGCUAACUACGUGCCAGCAGCCGCGGUAAUACGUAGGUGGCAAGCGUUAUCCGGAAUUAUUGGGCGUAAAGCGCGCGUAGGCGGUUUUUUAAGUCUGAUGUGAAAGCCCACGGCUCAACCGUGGAGGGUCAUUGGAAACUGGAAAACUUGAGUGCAGAAGAGGAAAGUGGAAUUCCAUGUGUAGCGGUGAAAUGCGCAGAGAUAUGGAGGGACACCAGUGGCGAAGGCGACUUUCUGGUCUGUAACUGACGCUGAUGUGCGAAAGCGUGGGGAUCAAACAGGAUUAGAUACCCUGGUAGUCCACGCCGUAAACGAUGAGUGCUAAGUGUUAGGGGGUUUCCGCCCCUUAGUGCUGCAGCUAACGCAUUAAGCACUCCGCCUGGGGAGUACGACCGCAAGGUUGAAACUCAAAGGAAUUGACGGGGACCCGCACAAGCGGUGGAGCAUGUGGUUUAAUUCGAAGCAACGCGAAGAACCUUACCAAAUCUUGACAUCCUUUGACAACUCUAGAGAUAGAGCCUUCCCCUUCGGGGGACAAAGUGACAGGUGGUGCAUGGUUGUCGUCAGCUCGUGUCGUGAGAUGUUGGGUUAAGUCCCGCAACGAGCGCAACCCUUAAGCUUAGUUGCCAUCAUUAAGUUGGGCACUCUAAGUUGACUGCCGGUGACAAACCGGAGGAAGGUGGGGAUGACGUCAAAUCAUCAUGCCCCUUAUGAUUAGGGCUACACACGUGCUACAAUGGACAAUACAAAGGGCAGCGAAACCGCGAGGUCAAGCAAAUCCCAUAAAGUUGUUCUCAGUUCGGAUUGUAGUCUGCAACUCGACUACAUGAAGCUGGAAUCGCUAGUAAUCGUAGAUCAGCAUGCUACGGUGAAUACGUUCCCGGGUCUUGUACACACCGCCCGUCACACCACGAGAGUUUGUAACACCCGAAGCCGGUGGAGUAACCUUUUAGGAGCUAGCCGUCGAAGGUGGGACAAAUGAUUGGGGUGAAGUCGUAACAAGGUAGCCGUAUCGGAAGGUGCGGCUGGAUCACC